UUUUGAGAGUAAAGUGCAAAGAAUGACGCUAGGGGACUACGAGAUAAGUUCUUAAAAUCCAAAGAACUUGGCGGUAUCCAAGACUCUUCAGGGGAACUUGCUUCUAAAACGAUGAUCCACGUGGGACCUUACCCUGUUUAGUAAAUCAGCUUGCAUACAGUCGUUAUCAGUCCUUGUUGUAAAAUAGGAGAAGAGGGCAGCAGAAAUAGGUAAUUUUAUAUAUCAGAUCAGUGUACAGUUAAUUAUCAGGGGGGGAGUGAGUUACAAUUAGUAUUUAUAAUUACGGAGCUAGUAAGGAAAUGUGCUGGUGAAGGAGGACUUGAAAGUAAGGAUAGCUUAUAAAGAUUUCUUGAACAUAGUUAGGAUGUGUACAAAUCGCCCGUCACUCUCAUUGAAAAGUGAGAUAAGUCGUAACAUAGUAGGAGUAACGGAAGUUGUUCCU
This 442-nucleotide ribosomal RNA is filed under the name Dendropoma nebulosum. Its description in RNAcentral is "partial small subunit ribosomal RNA". It matches the Rfam family "Bacterial small subunit ribosomal RNA", at positions 875 to 1519 of the family's 1533-position model. The record is from RNAcentral. Lineage: Eukaryota; Metazoa; Mollusca; Gastropoda; Littorinimorpha; Vermetidae.